This 305-nucleotide ribosomal RNA is filed under the name uncultured bacterium. RNAcentral describes it as "bacterial SSU rRNA". It matches the Rfam family "Bacterial small subunit ribosomal RNA", at positions 337 to 640 of the family's 1533-position model. The record is from RNAcentral.
UCCUACGGGGGGCAGCAGUGAGGAAUAUUGGUCAAUGGCCGAGAGGCUGAACCAGCCAAGUCGCGUGAGGGAUGACGGCCCUACGGGUUGUAAACCUCUUUUGUCGGGGAGCAAGACCCGCCUCGUGCAGGCGGAGCGAGAGUACCCGAAGAAAAAGCAUCGGCUAACUCCGUGCCAGCAGCCGCGGUAAUACGGAGGAUGCGAGCGUUAUCCGGAUUUAUUGGGGUUAAAGGGUGCGCAGGCGGAACCUCAAGUCAGCGGUAAAAUCGGGGGCCCAACCCAAUCCAGCCGUUGAAACUGGCGGG